RNAcentral lists this ribosomal RNA (468 nucleotides) under uncultured bacterium. Its description in RNAcentral is "partial 16S ribosomal RNA". It matches the Rfam family "Bacterial small subunit ribosomal RNA", at positions 28 to 507 of the family's 1533-position model. The record is from RNAcentral.
GACGAACGCUGGCGGCGUGCUUAACACAUGCAAGUCGAACGGAAAGGCCCUGCCUUUGUGGGGUGCUCGAGUGGCGAACGGGUGAGUAACACGUGAGUAACCUGUCCUUGACUUUGGGAUAACUUCAGGAAACUGGGGCUAAUACCGGAUAGGAGCUCCUGCUGCAUGGUGGGGGUUGGAAAGUUUCGGCGGUUGGGGAUGGACUCGCGGCUUAUCAGCUUGUUGGUGGGGUAGUGGCUUACCAAGGCUUUGACGGGUAGCCGGCCUGGGAGGGUGACCGGCCACAUUGGGACUGAGAUACGGCCCAGACUCCUACGGGAGGCAACAGUGGGGAAUAUUACACAAUGAGCGGAAGCCUGAUGCGACAACGCCGCGUGCGGGAAGACGGCCUUCGGGUAGUGAACCGCUUUCGCCUGUGACGAAGCGUGAGUGACGGUAAUGGGUGAAGAAGCACCGGCUAACUACGUG